Molecule: non-coding RNA, 3310 nt
Organism: Petromyzon marinus (sea lamprey)
Lineage: Eukaryota; Metazoa; Chordata; Hyperoartia; Petromyzontiformes; Petromyzontidae
Source: RefSeq, a predicted model, not a curated record
CAGGUUGGGUGACGUCACCACGCAGGAUGGGUGACGUUCCCACGCAGGUUGGGUGACGUCACCACGCAGGAUGGGUGACGUUCCCACGCAGGUUGGGUGACGUUACCACGCAGGGGGUGGGGUGACGUCGGCACGCAGGGUGGGUUGACGUCGGCACGCAGGACGGGGGGUGUGGUUCACAUUCCCACGCAGGGUGGGUGACGUCACCACGCAGGGGUGGGUGACGUCAGCACGCAUGGGUCGGCCAAGGCGGAAGUUGCAUUGCUUUCCCUGAGCAAGAUGGCUGCCGAGUGAUGUCGGUCUCUGUGCGAGAGGUGCCGCGUUCUCCCUGUCCCGGUGUGCGUGACGUCAUUUAUGGACGGCCCCUAUCCUGGGUUCCCCGCCUUUAAACCCGUACUGAGCGGUGUGCUGAGAUAUGGCCACUUCCUGUGGCGAACACCGGGUGUGUACAUUUCUAAGCCACAGUUUUAUACGAAUGUCGCCCAUAAUAAAAUGCGAUGUCAUGUACAGAAAGCAAAAUUGCGUGUUGUAACUUGUAAGAUAAGAAGAGCAGAUAGAAGACCUUGAGAUUCGCAGGGGAUAACGCUGCUCAAGGCAUUCAUCAGUUUGCCGGAUUCUCGGCUACAUUCCGCUAGGGGGCACAGCAACACACACACUGAAUUGCACGCCCAAUGCCUGUGGAUGGGGCUUUAACACUUUCAUGUCAGCAUCAUCAAGAUUCAUUGCUACGACUGUAAACAUUCACCAAUGCUAUUCAUAACCUACAUAGUAUUAAUGUACGGCGUUUGUUCGACCAAUCUAUUUUCACAUACUUUACAGAUAUAUUGCAUUUACAAUAUCAAGACGUUGUCAUGGCCAAAACCGUUGAUAACAACCGCACAUCCAAUGCGUUCUGCCUUCUCCUAUAUCUCACAUCUGCUGCACAGUAGACACGCGACCUUCAAGAUUUGCCGUCACAGUAUCCCACCAGUUGCUCUGAAGUGUUCCUCUUGAUUGCUAGACUCGUGUAGACUAUUCCAACAUCUGCCUCGUUAACACUGCUUUCCUCAAUCCUGUACAGCUAUCCUACCCAGCAGAAUGUGUUUGCCAAUAUCAUGCCUACAACACUUACCCUCCAUGUUCUCUUCCGAACUUUCGCGUUGCUUAUCAUAUCUUGCCAUGAAAUUCCAAGCAUCCAUCUCAGACACCAAUGCUCAAAUGCCAAAACUUAAAUGUCAAACACCUCGGUGUUCAGCUCCAUGAUCAAUGUUAUCUUAUUUUAACUUAAUUUGAAGUAAAACAGAUAUAUAUAUACAGUACCGUAGUGUUUCCAAGUUUAUUUGUACGCAAUUCACACAUCGGGUAAGUUUGCCACUUUGAAACUGUGUGAAUUAACAAUUACUGUUAUUACCGUAAAAUACCAUCUUCAUUCAACACAUAAAAUUAUAUCGCUUUUCAUUGAGCACCUUUGAAAUUUACGCAACCAUUUCGUGGUAAAUAUUUGUGGUAAGAUGAGACUUGGAGGAUUUUGAAAUCUCAAUAAAUCCUAAAUGUUUGCUCUGAUGAAUCACAGCCAAGCACAGCAACAGCCCAACAUGACGUGUCCACAUAGUUUGUGCUUGGGUUACACACACAUUGAGCAUUACGUCUGUAAGGAUUGAAACGUCCCCCUUGAGUUUAGAUGAAUUGUCAUGAUUUGGGGGUUAUGAUUGUGUCUAAAAAUAAAAUAUUUUAUCGCGAUGCAUUUCAGCUCUGCUAGUGGCUUCACAGGUCACGUCAAGUAUUUGCAUAAAACAUACGAAGACUUUUUUUUUACAAUUCUCAACACAAUUCUAUGCAUGCAUUGUAAGCAGAAUCGAAUUAAUCUCAUGUAUUUCGAACUUCUUUUGCACCGUACGUAGCUAUCCGUGCUCAUACCCUUAUUAAGCAUUGUACUGUACAUUCAUACAUUGCACAUAUCAGUAUCACGUGCAUGCACACACUGAACACAUUAAAAAAAGACAAUGGACCAUGAGCCCAGGCCAAAUAUUCUACUGUUUUGGUACCACCCGAUCUGGCAACACUUGAGUUGUACCAACAACAGCAUCAUUACAUUGCCAAUUGAAGUGAAAUGAUGCAAUUAUUUCAUUGAACAAUAAUUACAUAAUUCACUUGUAUUAGUCAUAUACAGAAACUGGUUUCACAAUAUUUUGCCACUACCCAUGGUACCAAAUAAAGAUCUGGCCCAUGGACUUAUUUUUAUUUUGCGCUGGUAAGAUCGCCAGGGCACGUCCAGUUUAGUGUGCACAUAUGCAGGAUAAAAUAACACGUGUUGCGGUGUGGUUUGCCUCUGCUAGUCAAUAUGUAUAUUACGCCACAGGAGUACUGUACUAUACAGUAGUUUAGAUUGGAAAAACUCAACACAUUCGUCACUCACAUCGGCCUUUGUGUCUCGAGAAACAAUUCUUUUUGCGCCUUACGAGGUCAGCUGUAGGUUUCGCAGCGCCUAGAAUGACUUAGUAGGCCAAUCCUUGAGUGACAAUCCUUGCCACAGCAAUUGCAAGUGAGUGCGGUGGCAGCUCCAGAGGUGUUUGUUGCUUUUUCUUUACGUCGCUCCCUCUUGGUCUGCCAAGCGGUGCGUCUUUUCUCCUCGCCUCUCCUGAGGCCUGUUUUCACAGCCUGCUGCCAGCCGAGUCGGUCGCCGGCAGUUUUCUCCCAGUCAUUGGGGUUGAUGUCGCAGCUCUUCGUGUCCCGUUCACAGACAUCUUUGAAGCGCAGGACCGGGCGACCAGUGACCCGUGUGCCUGAUGCCAGCUCGCCGUACAAGACAUCCUUGGGUAUUCUGCCAUCCUUCAUGUGGCGCACAUGUCCAAGCCAUCUCAGGCGCCUAUGAGUUUUGCAGCCCACUUGUCUGGUGAUGAACCAUAAGCUCCAAGCACACAUUGGAGCAGGACCAUCCCUAUUGACUCGGAGAGGGGGUUCUGGCAGAUUUACUGGCCGGAAGCCGGCUGACCGGCCGCAACCUCGGGAUACUGUCCGGAACGCACAGGGGCGAUGGGCGGUCCCGCCGGCGGAUGGUCGCUGUGACAGGGAUGGGCGUGCGUCGAGGACCGGACGCAGCCCUGAAUUAACAGGGGAGCAUUCCCCGCGCUUGCCCCACAGUGUCCCGUUCAGGGGAAAUGGGCCGGCAGCUGGAACUCGCUCUCAAGGAAGAACCUUCCGUUGACUCUACAUCUCUUAUGGUUGUUGUACAAAGUUCUGUGAUGCAUUGUUGUUAUUGUUAUGUCCUUGUUGUGCUCCACUACCCGGAAGUCGAAGUAUGGUCGUAGCCGGGACGGCUAGAUUUUUUCAU